This 219-nucleotide long non-coding RNA is filed under the name Salvia miltiorrhiza (redroot sage). RNAcentral's name for it is "long non-coding RNA (SMIL_LNC013629)". Lineage: Eukaryota; Viridiplantae; Streptophyta; Magnoliopsida; Lamiales; Lamiaceae. The record is from RNAcentral.
AAAUUGAUUUUAAUUAACUCUCUUUUUCUUUUUUCUUUACCUUUUUUUAGAAUUUAGUUUUAAGUUUUAAUUAAGUUUUAUUUUUAAUUUUUAAAUUUAUCUACAACACCACAACAAAGAAAACCCUAAAACUAAAAUGCUGAAAUUUGAAAGUCUUAAGACUAAAAAUCCUAAUAUUUUUUUUAUGUUUUUUUAUUAAUUAUUUAAAUAAUAAUUCAA